AUGCAUGCGGGGUCCCAUGGAGUCAGCCCAUCUUUGGAUGGGUUCAUUGGUAGCCAUGAUGAAGUAAUGGACGCCCCUGUGCUUUUCUGGAUGGAUAUCUGGAAGAUGAUACUGAGGGAAAGGGGGGUGUUAGGGGGGAUGGGUGGGGUUGAGGUGGGGUGCGUCCCUGGCUCUUAUAGAACAACUAAUGUGAGCCGUUUUGGGGUAGUUUCGGUGACAUUUCAUGUUGUGAAUGUAAUCCUGGAAACUGUACAAAGAGGUUGCCUGAUAGAUGGAAAACCGUUCUUUUUUCUUCUGCACUUGCAUCUCUCAUCAUUACUUUAUCUCUCUUCAUAUUGUUUGGGAUAUCCCGAGUUUACCUCGGAUUAG
RNAcentral lists this ribosomal RNA (369 nucleotides) under Triticum aestivum (bread wheat). Its description in RNAcentral is "partial small subunit ribosomal RNA". Lineage: Eukaryota; Viridiplantae; Streptophyta; Magnoliopsida; Poales; Poaceae. The record is from RNAcentral.